This 403-nucleotide ribosomal RNA is filed under the name bacterium. RNAcentral's name for it is "partial 16S ribosomal RNA". It matches the Rfam family "Bacterial small subunit ribosomal RNA", at positions 355 to 776 of the family's 1533-position model. The record is from RNAcentral.
UGGGGAAUAUUGCACAAUGGGGGAAACCCUGAUGCAGCGACGCCGCGUGAACGAAGAAGGUAUUCGUAUCGUAAAGUUCUGUCCUAUGGGAAGAUAAUGACAGUACCAUAGAAGAAAGCUCCGGCUAAAUACGUGCCAGCAGCCGCGGUAAUACGUAUGGAGCGAGCGUUGUCCGGAAUUAUUGGGCGUAAAGGGUACGCAGGCGGUUUAAUAAGUCGAAUGUUAAAGAUCGGGGCUCAACCCCGUAAAGCAUUGGAAACUGAUAAACUUGAGUAGUGGAGAGGAAAGUGGAAUUCCUAGUGUAGUGGUGAAAUACGUAGAUAUUAGGAGGAAUACCAGUAGCGAAGGCGACUUUCUGGACAUAAACUGACGCUGAGGUACGAAAGCGUGGGGAGCAAACAGG